This 253-nucleotide ribosomal RNA is filed under the name uncultured bacterium. RNAcentral describes it as "partial 16S ribosomal RNA". It matches the Rfam family "Bacterial small subunit ribosomal RNA", at positions 524 to 776 of the family's 1533-position model. The record is from RNAcentral.
UACGUAGGGGGCAAGCGUUGUCCGGAAUUAUUGGGCGUAAAGAGCGCGUAGGCGGUCCGGUAAGUCGGUUGUGAAAGUCGGGGGCUCAACCCUCGGAUGCCGAUCGAUACUGUCGGGCUAGAGUCCGGAAGAGGCGAGUGGAAUUCCUGGUGUAGCGGUGAAGUGCGCAGAUAUCAGGAGGAACACCAAUGGCGAAGGCAGCUCGCUGGGACGGUACUGACGCUGAGGAGCGAAAGCGUGGGGAGCGAACAGG